RNAcentral lists this ribosomal RNA (1986 nucleotides) under Myxobolus rotundus. Its description in RNAcentral is "SSU rRNA". It matches the Rfam family "Eukaryotic small subunit ribosomal RNA". The record is from RNAcentral. Lineage: Eukaryota; Metazoa; Cnidaria; Myxozoa; Bivalvulida; Myxobolidae.
CUGCCAGUCAAGCAGGCUAUUCUCGAAGAUUAAGCCAUGUAUGUGCCAAGUUCAAACGUAUUACGUGAGACUGCGGACGGCUCAGUAAAUCAGUGAUAAUCUAUUUGAUUUUCUCUCCCAUUGGAUAACCGUGGGAAAUCUAGAGCUAAAACAUGCGGUAUCUUGACAUGCUUUCGGGUAUGUCAAAGCAUUUAUUAGUCUAAACCAACUGCUUUGUUUAUUCAAAGUAAGGUGAAUCUGGAUAACUUUGCUGAUCGUAUGGCCUAGUGCCGGCGACGUUUCAAUUGAGUUUCUGCCCUAUCAACUUGUUGGUAAGGUAUUGGCUUACCAAGGUUGCAACGGGUAACGGGGAAUCAGGGUUCGAUUCCGGAGAGGGAGCCUGAGAAACGGCUACCACAUCCAAGGAAGGCAACAGGCGCGCAAAUUACCCAAUCUAGACAGUAGGAGGUGGUGAAGAGAAUUACCAAAUGGUGGUCCAAUGGAUCACUUGUUUGGAAUGAACGUAACUUAAGAAAUUCGUUGAUAAACAACUGGAGGGCAAGUCCUGGUGCCAGCAGCCGCGGUAAUUCCAGCUCCAGUAGUCUGCUUUAAAGUUGUUGCGUUUAAAACGCUCGUAGUUGGAUCACGCAGCAGUGUCCAGUUAUCUUUUGUUCAACUCAGUCGAAUGUGUCCGUCHCHGACGGCCAUUUGGUAGUUUUGRCUCUAGAUGCAAUGCUGGAUGCUGUUAUUUGCACGUGAGAUAGAUUGUUGGCCUUAAUUGAGCCGGUAUUCUUGUCUUGCGGAGUGUGCCUUGAAUAAAACAGAGUGCUUAAAGCAGGUUUUUGCCUGAAUGUUAUAGCAUGGAACGAACAAUCGUGUAUAUGUGUGAGUCAUUGGAUAGUUACGAAUCUUUGGUUUGUAGUUGUCCGUGGCGCACACGGCACCCGCCUAAAUAUGUGUGUUGGUUACAUAUACGGUGAUGAUUAACAGAAGCGGUUGGGGGCAUUAGUAUUUGGCCGCGAGAGGUGAAAUUCUUAGACCGGCCAAGGACUAACUAAUGCUAAGGCAUUUGUCCAGACCGUAUUCAUUAAUCAAGAACGAAAGUGGGAGGUUCGAAGACGAUCAGAUACCGUCAUAGUUCCCACCGUAAACUAUGCCGACCUGGGAUCAGUUUGGAGAUAUGCAAGCUCUAAAUUGGUCCCUCUGGGAAACCUAAAGUUUUUCGGUUACGGGGAGAGUAUGGUCGCAAGGCUGAAACUUAAAGGAAUUGACGGAAGGGCACCACCAGGGGUGGAGCCUGCGGCUUAAUUUGACUCAACACGGGGAAACUUACCUGGUCCGGACGUCGAUAGGAUUUACAGAUCAAUAGCUCUUUAAUGAUCCGAUGAGUGGUGGUGCAUGGCCGUUCUUAGUUCGUGGAGUGAUCUGUCAGUUUAAUUACGGUAACGAACGAGACCACAGUCUCUAUUUAAAAGAUGGAAGAAGGUGACAUUUACGCAGUCGCAAGGCUGUGUAGGUGUUGCUGCCGAGGGAGUAGUGUAUUUNNNNNNNNNNNNNNNNNNNNGGAUUAUAUUGUGCUGCUCUCUCCUUCCAUUACGCAGCAGUCGGCCUCGGCUGGCUGUUGCCUUCUAGAGAGACAACGAGGUAUAAACAAGCUCGAGGAAGAGUGGCUAUAACAGGUCAGUGAUGCCCUUCGAUGUUCAGGGCUGCACGCGCGCUACAAUGAUAACGUCAACGAGUGUCUGCGUCGAAAGACGUGGGUAAUCUUUAAUCGUUAUCGUGAUGGGGAUUGACCGUUGUAAUUGUCGGUCAUGAAAGAGGAAUCCCUAGUAUGCGCAUUUUAUUAGAAUGUGCAGAUUGAGUCCCUGCCCUUUGUACACACCGCCCGUCGCUACUACCGAGUGAAUGGUGUCAUGAUGCCCUGGGAUUGGACGUUGGUUGGGUUUCACGACUCGGCCGAUGCUGAGAUCAGCGUAAAAUGGCGACGUUUCGAGGAAGUAAAAGUCG